RNAcentral lists this ribosomal RNA (492 nucleotides) under uncultured bacterium. RNAcentral's name for it is "partial 16S ribosomal RNA". It matches the Rfam family "Bacterial small subunit ribosomal RNA", at positions 29 to 507 of the family's 1533-position model. The record is from RNAcentral.
AGUGAACGCUGGCGGUAGGCCUAACACAUGCAAGUCGAACGGCAGCACAGUAAGAGCUUGCUCUUACGGGUGGCGAGUGGCGGACGGGUGAGGAAUCCAUCGGAAUCUACUUUUUCGUGGGGGAUAACGUAGGGAAACUUACGCUAAUACCGCAUACGACCUACGGGUGAAAGCAGGGGUUCUUCGGACCUUUCGCGAUUGAAUGAGCCGAUGUCGGAUUAGCUAGUUGGCGGGGUAAAGGCCCACCAAGGCGACGAUCCGUAGCUGGUCUGAGAGGAUGAUCAGCCACACUGGAACUGAGACACGGUCCAGACUCCUACGGGAGGCAGCAGUGGGGAAUAUUGGACAAUGGGCGCAAGCCUGAUCCAGCCAUACCGCGUGGGUGAAGAAGGCCUUCGGGUUGUAAAGCCCUUUUGUUGGGAAAGAAAAGCAGCAGGUUAAUACCCCGCUGUUCUGACGGUACCCAAAGAAUAAGCACCGGCUAACUUCGUG